RNAcentral lists this ribosomal RNA (497 nucleotides) under uncultured bacterium. RNAcentral's name for it is "partial 16S ribosomal RNA". It matches the Rfam family "Bacterial small subunit ribosomal RNA", at positions 28 to 507 of the family's 1533-position model. The record is from RNAcentral.
GAUGAACGCUGGCGGCGUGCCUAAUACAUGCAAGUCGAGCGAACAGACGAGGAGCUUGCUCCUCUGACGUUAGCGGCGGACGGGUGAGUAACACGUGGAUAACCUACCUAUAAGACUGGGAUAACUUCGGGAAACCGGAGCUAAUACCGGAUAAUAUAUUGAACCGCAUGGUUCAAUAGUGAAAGGCGGUUUUGCUGUCACUUAUAGAUGGAUCCGCGCCGCAUUAGCUAGUUGGUAAGGUAACGGCUUACCAAGGCAACGAUGCGUAGCCGACCUGAGAGGGAGAUCGGCCACACGGGAAGUGAGACACGGUCCAGACUCCUACGGGAGGCAGCAGUAGGGAAUCUUCCGCAAUGGGCGAAAGCCUGACAGAGCAACGCCGCGUGAGUGAUGAAGGUCUUCGGAUCGUAAAACGCUGUUAUUAGGGAAGAACAAAUGUGUAAGUAACUAUGCACGUCUUGACGGUACCUAAUGAGAAAGCCACGGCUAACUACGUG